Molecule: long non-coding RNA, 1372 nt
Organism: Rhinopithecus roxellana (golden snub-nosed monkey)
Lineage: Eukaryota; Metazoa; Chordata; Mammalia; Primates; Cercopithecidae
Exons: 4
Source: RefSeq, a predicted model, not a curated record
AAAAAAAAAAAAAAAGAGAGAUACCGUGUUUGACUCUAACUAGAGAGUCAACUGCCCUAGGCUACAGGGAGCCUGAAAAAACCAGGGCAACGUAUUUUCAGAGACUAAUAGUGUAAUUUCCCACUGAACUUUGCUCUGGGGUGUCAGGGAAUUUUUAGAAUAUGUUGUUCCCAGGAAGGGUGGGAGCAACUUGCAUUUCUAAAUCAACCCUGGAGAUAUGCCAGCUUGUUUGAAUAAUAUCUAUUUCAGAAAAAUGUGUCUAGCUUCCCAAUCAAAGAACUGUCCCUUUCACCUCUGCACCCCACCAAGGACUGGACCACCUCCUCAAAGAGCAGACGUGUCUUUAGAACAGACUGUAGGCUUGGAGCCUUGUAAAAUGUACAUGGAGGUUUCACAAUCAAGCACACGGAAUCCAGUUGAAGGCAGCUAAACUUUGUGUUGAUUUGAUUAGUGUGAUCUCAGCUCAAGGCAAAGGUGGGAUAUCAUGGCAUCUAUCUGGGUUGGACACCGAGGAACAAUAAGAGAUUAUCCAGACUUUAGCCCAUCAGUGGAUGCUGAAGCUAUUCAGAAAGCAAUCAGAGGAAUUGCAUUUCUCUAGAAUAUGACAAGAACUGGAAUUUCCACAUUGACGGGGAUACUUCUCUUCAAAUUAACUGGAAAUUUUGCCAUACUAUUCUCUGAAAUGAAUGUAGAAAUUAGCAUUCCUUUCAGCAAUGUACAAGACUUCUUUUUGCUCCAUGUUCUCACCAAUACUUGCUACAGUAAGACUAUUCCAUUUUUCUAAUUAAGUGGGUCUAAAUGGUAUCUUAUUCUGCAUGUGUGUUUGUUUCCUCUCUCUACCCUGAUGACUGAUGCAGUUAAGCAUCCUCACUUGUGCAUCUGCUUCCACUUUCAUACAUCAAUAAAAUAUAAAAUAUAUUUUAUCUAUUUUUUUCAGUUGGUUUGUCUUCUUUAGAUUGGCAAGAAUUUUUUAUAAUUCCUCAAUACAAACUUUUAAAAAAAUAUUACAAACCAUGAAAAUAUUUCCUAUAAGUUCAUGGUUUUCUUUUAACAUUGGUGACAUGGUUUGGUCCUGUGUCCCCACCCAAAUCUCAUCUUGUAGCUCCCAUAAUUCCCACAUAUUGUGGGAGGGACCUGGUGGGAGAUGAUUGAAUCAUGGGGACAGGUCUUUUCCGUACUGUUCACAUGAUAGUGAAUAAGUGUUACAAGAUCUGAUGGCUUUAUAAGGUGGAGUUUCUCUGCAUAAGCUCUCUCCUUGCCUGCCGCCAUCCACAUAAGAUGUGACUUGCUCCUCCUUCCCUUCCACCAUGAUUGUGAGGCUUCCCCAGACACAUGGAACUGUGAGUUCUCCAUUAAACCUCUUUCCUUCAUA